GGCUUGUAGAAGGCUUUAGACGCGUACUAUACGUUGCAACCGCCGACUGACUGGUGCCUUCAAGUCUUGCAAGAAGUGUCGAUAUUACGAAAGCGACCUUGUAAAGCGAGAAAAGGUGGCGCAGGUAACAGAUGUGGACACCUAGCUGAGUGGCAGCACAGCCCUGGAGGAGGUCCAGUCCAUUGUGGGUCCAUUGUCUGUUACCCUAGAGGCCAUGAUGACACCUACCAGGUCAACUGUGUUGUGGCACUCUCAAAGGGAGAGAAAUCAGAACUUCAGCCUCACAGUCCUGCUCCUUCUCCAGAAUCCUGUUGGUUCACAAAAUACGUAAUAGCACGUGUCCAUGUAGUUUUUGUGUCACUCAGGCAAAUACAGGAACCAAAUGCAGUCAAAGGAGCAGACAGAUUCCAUACACAAAACAGUUUUAAUCAAAGCUGAUAAACUAGUCCAAAUAGUCAAAUAAAUUUAAACACUGAAGCCCUCUUGAGGUCAGCGGUGGACACUGAAGCCCUCUGGAGGCCAAUCGGAAGGCCGGUGGCAGACACUGAAGCCCUCUUGAGGACAAGAUGAGUCAGCCAUGCUGCCAACUGAGGAGCAGGAACAGGUCAUGGCUAGGCUGCCAACUGAGCAGUAAGAACAGGUCUAGGCCAGGCCAGGUCGCAGUCUGGGGUGUGGCUGGGUACCUCACAUUUUCAGAGGAGGCAGUCUGUAGGCUUACUGAGUUCCCCAGAAAGGAGACACCUGGGGCCUCUCGGAGGUGUCACCUUUCUUUCCUGGCAACUACCAGGCCCUGGAGCUAACCAGGGGGCUAACCAGCUGACAGCCAGCAAACACUGGAAUUGAUGGGGGGCUAGCUUGCAGGUGGCUACCAGGCCCUGGAGCUGACUGGAGGCUGACAAAACCCAGCUGGAGAGAAGGGAGCACAUGGUGGCACAGGCUUGGCUAAAGGCUGAAGCUUGGGCUUAGAGCUGGGUGCUUGGGACUGAGGGUUUGCAGACUCCAUGCUAAACUCAUGGCUGCCAAAUGACAUUUUUGCAAAGGCUCAAUAUCUGAAAGUGUUCAGGGCCUCAAACUAUAUAACUGUUCCUAGUUUCAUACUUCUAUGAAGAAGUAAAAAGUUUUUGGCUCACCAUCUGGAUUAUCUAGGUUAGAUGGACCACUGCCUCAGUGUGAUGGUGUGCAUUGUUUUGUCUUGUUUUGUUUACCAACUCUGUCUUCUGCUGUGAUAUUCCGAGCUCUUUCCCCAGAGGAGAACUCAUGAACAUCAAGGCAAUAACUUCAGCUUACUUGUUUCCAGCUUCUUUCUGUUCAUCAGUGGAAUUAUUGGACAUUCUUGUGAAAGGUGCUUUCAACUGUUCAUGCUGUUAAAUGCCAUAGGAGAGGAAGAUGUGCUGGAAUGCUUGUAUGUCUCUGCAUGCGCGGAAACCAGACUUCACUAUGAGGAAUAUUUCUAUUCAAUAUGUGCUCUCUGUGCAAUAGACGGAACAAACUGCAGCUAUUGAUGGAGAAAGACCAGUGGCGGCCCAAGCCUUUUGGGGGGCCUAAGCAGAAUUUGAUUUGGGGGCCCCCCUCCCACCACUGCAGAGUCACCUGUGCAAGUAUUGACACAAAUGAAUUGACUUAUUCAUUCAUUCAUUCAUUUAUGUCACUUGUAUAAUUCAUUUGAUAUGUCAAUAAAUAAAUAAAUAA
Molecule: long non-coding RNA, 1689 nt
Organism: Acanthopagrus latus (yellowfin seabream)
Lineage: Eukaryota; Metazoa; Chordata; Actinopteri; Spariformes; Sparidae
Exons: 3
Source: RefSeq, a predicted model, not a curated record